RNAcentral lists this ribosomal RNA (369 nucleotides) under Triticum aestivum (bread wheat). RNAcentral describes it as "partial small subunit ribosomal RNA". Lineage: Eukaryota; Viridiplantae; Streptophyta; Magnoliopsida; Poales; Poaceae. The record is from RNAcentral.
AUGAUCUUCAUGAUAGAGAGUCUCCUAUAUUGUCACUUUCAUAUACUAGUGGGAAUUUUUCAUUAUAGAACUUGGCUUGUAUAUUCCAACGAUGGGCUUCCUCAAAAUGCCCUAGGUCUUCAUGAGCAAGCAAGUUGGAUGCACACCCACUUAGUUUUCUUUUUGAGUUUUCAUACACUUAUAGCUCUAGUGCAUCCGUUGCACGGCAAUCCCUACUCACUCACAUUGAUAUCUAUUAAUGGGCAUCUCCAUGGCCCGUUGAUACGCCUAGUUGAUGUGAGACUAUCUCCUUCUUUUUGUCUUCUCCACAACCAUCGUCUAUUCCACCUAAAGUGCUAUGUCCAUGGCUCACGCUCAUGUAUUGCGUGA